Molecule: long non-coding RNA, 834 nt
Organism: Sarcophilus harrisii (Tasmanian devil)
Lineage: Eukaryota; Metazoa; Chordata; Mammalia; Dasyuromorphia; Dasyuridae
Exons: 4
Source: RefSeq, a predicted model, not a curated record
AAUUAUGUAAUGACAGUUCAAUGAACCACUGAGAACUAAUAUCAAACAGAGAGACAACAGCUUAUUUAAAAUAUUUUCCAGUGUCAUAAAUGAUAUCCUGUGCAGAGUUUAAACAGAAGAAGGACUUGAUUUUAAUGUAUUGCAGCAGUUGAAUGGAACUGAUAUAUUCUAGUCUUCUAAAACAAGAAGUGAAAGCAAGGAACACAAUCUAUCCAAGGUACUCAUCUGGAAGCAUUAAGAGAGGAGACAUUUAUUUUUGUGGUUAGCAAUCUAAUGGGAAAAAUGAGAAAACUGAGACCCAGAGAAACAAAGCAACUAUUCUAUGGAUCUCUGUUUCUUCAUCAAUAAAGUGAAAAGAGUUUAAGAACAAACUCCUUUAACUUGCCCUUUGUGGGGGAAGAAGAAGGUUUCUGCAAGAAAAGGGAGGAAGUUGAAAUAUAUUCUGUACUUUUUGAAGAGAAAAAGGUUAAACUUCAAUUUUGUCAUGGGCUUCCAUUCCUGUGUUUGGAAGACUAGCCUUCAAUCAUACAUUAUACAUACAUCAUCAUAAGAAUAGAGGUAACUUCUCAGAACUCAUUUGCUCAUGUUUUGUUAAAAAAUAAAAAGAGGAUUGGCUUAGGAAAUCUAUAGGGUCUCUUCUACUUCUAAGACUAUAUGUUACCCCUCACUAUUUUUCUUUAGGAUUGAGGACUUAUUUUGUAUCUGAAGGCCCAGCAAGCUAGCAAGUCUUCCAUAUGAUUAGAAGAACACUUCUACUAACUAGCUAUAACACCUUAAAUAAGUUACUUCAUUCCAUUCUGUCCUUGUUUCUCUACUUAUAAAAUGGGAAUGUAA